AGGAGAGACGGGCCCUGGAGGACGCCAGGUAUUACACCUCACACUCACACUUCACUGUUCAACACACAAACUCACAACACUGGAGGAGUUAUGGCAUCAAACCAAUGUUGGUAAAGAAGCCUUUCCAGGGGAGGAGAUCACGGGCAGUGAUUCCACAGAACAGGGUCAACAGGUAGAAUCAUGUCCUUAAUUAAACCACAACUAAAUCAAGGGGAGCGAGGCACAGAUGGAGAUCCAGGGACUCCCGGUGUACCUGUGUGCAGUGAGUUACAAGGACCAAUGGCUGGCAAGAACAUCUCCACCCAUCACUUACAAGCAGCUAAAUAGUGGUCGG
Gasterosteus aculeatus aculeatus (three-spined stickleback) is the source of this 334-nucleotide long non-coding RNA. The record is from Ensembl. Lineage: Eukaryota; Metazoa; Chordata; Actinopteri; Perciformes; Gasterosteidae.